AGAGUUUGAUCAUGGCUCAGGAUGAACGCUAGCUACAGGCUUAACACAUGCAAGUCGAGGGGCAGCAUGGGUCUUAGCUUGCUAAGGCCGAUGGCGACCGGCGCACGGGUGAGUAACACGUAUCCAACCUGCCGUCUACCUCUUGGACAGCCUUCUGAAAGGAAGAUUAAUACCAAGAUGGCAUCAUGAGUUCACAUGUUCACAUGAUUAAAGGUUUUCCGGUAGACGAUGGGGAUGCGUUCCAUUAGAUAGUAGGCGGGGUAACGGCCCACCUAGUCUUCGAUGGAUAGGGGUUCUGAGAGGAAGGUCCCCCACAUUGGAACUGAGACACGGUCCAAACUCCUACGGGAGGCAGCA
Molecule: ribosomal RNA, 357 nt
Filed under: uncultured bacterium
Lineage: Bacteria
Description: bacterial SSU rRNA
Rfam family: Bacterial small subunit ribosomal RNA
Source: RNAcentral